RNAcentral lists this ribosomal RNA (486 nucleotides) under uncultured bacterium. RNAcentral describes it as "partial 16S ribosomal RNA". It matches the Rfam family "Bacterial small subunit ribosomal RNA", at positions 30 to 507 of the family's 1533-position model. The record is from RNAcentral.
AUUGAACGCUGGCGGCAUGCCUUACACAUGCAAGUCGAACGGCAGCACGGGUGCUUGCACCUGGUGGCGAGUGGCGAACGGGUGAGUAAUACAUCGGAACAUGUCCUGUAGUGGGGGAUAGCCCGGCGAAAGCCGGAUUAAUACCGCAUACGAUCUACGGAUGAAAGCGGGGGACCUUCGGGCCUCGCGCUAUAGGGUUGGCCGAUGGCUGAUUAGCUAGUUGGUGGGGUAAAGGCCUACCAAGGCGACGAUCAGUAGCUGGUCUGAGAGGACGACCAGCCACACUGGGACUGAGACACGGCCCAGACUCCUACGGGAGGCAGCAGUGGGGAAUUUUGGACAAUGGGCGAAAGCCUGAUCCAGCAAUGCCGCGUGUGCGAAGAAGGCCUUCGGGUUGUAAAGCACUUUUGUCCGGAAAGAAAUCCUUGGCUCUAAUACAGUCGGGGGAUGACGGUACCGGAAGAAUAAGCACCGGCUAACUACGUG